AGUUUGUUCACCCCAGAGGCUUAAAUGAAGCACAUUAGCAGCUACUCGGGCAGAUGGUCUCUGCAACAGGAAGGGAAGCUGAGGCUUAGGACAUCUGUGACAAAGUGUUCAGCCCACAACCCUCUUCGAUGCAGAGCCUGGUGUUAGAGAAAAAAACCAUUAAGAUGAUGCAUCACAUUUGAUGAGCCCUGAGAAAAGCCAGUCCUUCUUCCCAUCCAUCCUUUCGUCCAUCCAUCAUCCCAUGUGGCAGAUAGCGGUUAAGAGCACCUGGAAUCAGACUAGAUGCCUGAGUUUGGACUCCAGGUCUGCCACUGUACGUCCUUGGCCAAGUUACUUAACUUCUCUGGGCUCAGUCUCAAGUGCAGGGAAAAAGGUAGUAACAUACCUCAUGAGGUUGAUAAUACUUGUAAAGAAAGGACUAGAAUCUCUGUGAUUCCAAGUUCUUGCAAUAACACUUUGUGUGGAGUAUGAGCUCAAUAAACCUUUGUUGAA
Molecule: long non-coding RNA, 492 nt
Organism: Myotis lucifugus (little brown bat)
Lineage: Eukaryota; Metazoa; Chordata; Mammalia; Chiroptera; Vespertilionidae
Exons: 2
Source: RefSeq, a predicted model, not a curated record